RNAcentral lists this ribosomal RNA (1346 nucleotides) under Bacillus sp. (in: firmicutes). RNAcentral's name for it is "bacterial SSU rRNA". It matches the Rfam family "Bacterial small subunit ribosomal RNA", at positions 106 to 1437 of the family's 1533-position model. The record is from RNAcentral. Lineage: Bacteria; Bacillati; Bacillota; Bacilli; Caryophanales; Bacillaceae.
GUGAGUAACACGUGGGCAACCUGCCUGUAAGACUGGGAUAACUUCGGGAAACCGGAGCUAAUACCGGAUAAUCCUUUUCCUCUCAUGAGGAAAAGCUGAAAGACGGUUUCGGCUGUCACUUACAGAUGGGCCCGCGGCGCAUUAGCUAGUUGGUGAGGUAACGGCUCACCAAGGCGACGAUGCGUAGCCGACCUGAGAGGGUGAUCGGCCACACUGGGACUGAGACACGGCCCAGACUCCUACGGGAGGCAGCAGUAGGGAAUCUUCCGCAAUGGACGAAAGUCUGACGGAGCAACGCCGCGUGAGCGAUGAAGGCCUUCGGGUCGUAAAGCUCUGUUGUCAGGGAAGAACAAGUAUCGGAGUAACUGCCGGUACCUUGACGGUACCUGACCAGAAAGCCACGGCUAACUACGUGCCAGCAGCCGCGGUAAUACGUAGGUGGCAAGCGUUGUCCGGAAUUAUUGGGCGUAAAGCGCGCGCAGGCGGUUCCUUAAGUCUGAUGUGAAAGCCCCCGGCUCAACCGGGGAGGGUCAUUGGAAACUGGGGAACUUGAGUGCAGAAGAGGAGAGCGGAAUUCCACGUGUAGCGGUGAAAUGCGUAGAGAUGUGGAGGAACACCAGUGGCGAAGGCGGCUCUCUGGUCUGUAACUGACGCUGAGGCGCGAAAGCGUGGGGAGCGAACAGGAUUAGAUACCCUGGUAGUCCACGCCGUAAACGAUGAGUGCUAAGUGUUAGAGGGUUUCCGCCCUUUAGUGCUGCAGCAAACGCAUUAAGCACUCCGCCUGGGGAGUACGGCCGCAAGGCUGAAACUCAAAGGAAUUGACGGGGGCCCGCACAAGCGGUGGAGCAUGUGGUUUAAUUCGAAGCAACGCGAAGAACCUUACCAGGUCUUGACAUCCUCUGACAACCCUAGAGAUAGGGCGUUCCCCUUCGGGGGACAGAGUGACAGGUGGUGCAUGGUUGUCGUCAGCUCGUGUCGUGAGAUGUUGGGUUAAGUCCCGCAACGAGCGCAACCCUUGAUCUUAGUUGCCAGCAUUAAGUUGGGCACUCUAAGGUGACUGCCGGUGACAAACCGGAGGAAGGUGGGGAUGACGUCAAAUCAUCAUGCCCCUUAUGACCUGGGCUACACACGUGCUACAAUGGAUGGAACAAAGGGCAGCGAAGCCGCGAGGUGAAGCCAAUCCCAUAAAACCAUUCUCAGUUCGGAUUGCAGGCUGCAACUCGCCUGCAUGAAGCCGGAAUCGCUAGUAAUCGCGGAUCAGCAUGCCGCGGUGAAUACGUUCCCGGGCCUUGUACACACCGCCCGUCACACCACGAGAGUUUGUAACACCCGAAGUCGGUGGGGUA